UACGUAGGGUGCAAGCGUUGUCCGGAAUUAUUGGGCGUAAAGAGCUCGUAGGCGGUUUGUUGCGUCUGCUGUGAAAACUGGAGGCUCAACCUCCAGCCUGCAGUGGGUACGGGCAGACUAGAGUGCGGUAGGGGAGAUUGGAAUUCCUGGUGUAGCGGUGAAAUGCGCAGAUAUCAGGAGGAACACCGAUGGCGAAGGCAGGUCUCUGGGCCACUACUGACGCUGAGAAGCGAAAGCAUGGGGAGCGAACAGG
This 253-nucleotide ribosomal RNA is filed under the name uncultured bacterium. RNAcentral describes it as "partial 16S ribosomal RNA". It matches the Rfam family "Bacterial small subunit ribosomal RNA", at positions 524 to 776 of the family's 1533-position model. The record is from RNAcentral.